CUCCCCUCUCGUCCGCAGCCGCAGGGCCGUAGGCAGCCAUGGCGCCCAGCCGGAAUGGCAUGGUCUUGAAGCCCCACUUCCACAAGGACUGGCAGCGGCGCGUGGCCACGUGGUUCAACCAGCCGGCCCGUAAGAUCCGCAGCGUAAGGCCCGGCAAGCCAAGGCGCGCCGCAUCGCCCCGCGCCCCGCGUCGGGUCCCAUCCGGCCCAUCGUGCGCUGCCCCACGGUUCGGUACCACACGAAGGUGCGCGCCGGCCGCGGCUUCAGCCUGGAGGAGCUCAGGUGGCCGGCAUUCACAAGAAGGUGGCCCGGACCAUCGGCAUUUCUGUGGAUCCGAGGAGGCGGAACAAGUCCACGGAGUCCCUGCAGGCCAACGUGCAGCGGCUGAAGGAGUACCGCUCCAAACUCAUCCUCUUCCCCAGGAAGCCCUCGGCCCCCAAGAAGGGAGACAGUUCUCUGAAGAACUGAAACUGGCCACCCAGCUGACCGGACCGGUCAUGCCCGUCCGGAACUCUAUAAGAAGGAGAAAGCUCGAGUCAUCACUGAGGAAGAGAAGAAUUUCAAAGCCUUCGCUAGUCUCCGUAUGGCCCGUGCCAACGCCCGGCUCUUCGGCAUACGGGCAAAAAGAGCCAAGGAAGCCGCAGAACAGGAUGUUGAAAAGAAAAAAUAAAGCCCUCCUGGGGACUUGGAAUCAGUCGGCAGUCAUGCUGGGUCUCCACGUGGUGUGUUUCG
Molecule: long non-coding RNA, 732 nt
Filed under: Homo sapiens (human)
Lineage: Eukaryota; Metazoa; Chordata; Mammalia; Primates; Hominidae
Description: long non-coding RNA NONHSAT144545.2
Source: RNAcentral